UACAGAGGGGGCAAGCGUUAUUCGGAAUUAUUGGGCGUAAAGGGCGCGUAGGCGGCUUGGCAAGUGGAUGGUGAAAUCCCUCGGCUUAACCGAGGAACUGCCGUCCAAACUGCUUAGCUUGAGACCAGGAGAGGUGAGUGGAAUUCCCAGUGUAGCGGUGAAAUGCGUAGAUAUUGGGAGGAACACCAGUGGCGAAGGCGGCUCACUGGACUGGUACUGACGCUGAUGCGCGAAAGCGUGGGGAGCAAACGGG
This 253-nucleotide ribosomal RNA is filed under the name uncultured bacterium. Its description in RNAcentral is "partial 16S ribosomal RNA". It matches the Rfam family "Bacterial small subunit ribosomal RNA", at positions 524 to 776 of the family's 1533-position model. The record is from RNAcentral.